GGGGAGAAGUGAUAAUGGGCUUGUGGCUACAAGUAGGAAAGAAACAUUUUAAAGUCGCCUGGACCAGCUGUGCCUUACAAGGGCCACCUUGCAGAUAAGUACAAAAUUUACCAGCCCAGCAAGUGUCUGCCAGUCUACUUUCUCUAUGUAAAGGGGCCCAGGGCACUUGACUGCAAAACUUGGUUAAUUCUCUGUGGCUCCGCUGGAUUUAGUGAAUAAAUUCCUUCCUACCUAGGGGCUCUGAUCACUGAAGAUUUGGCUCUGGCUUCCACCAUGUUGGGUACACAGUAAGUGCUCAAAGAAAGCAAGCAGCAGAUAAUGAAGGGAGGGAAGCAGGCAGGCAGGAGGGGAAGGCUGGAAGCAAAGGAAUGAAAAAAUCUUCUAAUUCUUUGGUUACUCAUCCACAGCAGCAGGUCCACGCACAGCUGGGACAAAAUCACAGCUACUUCUCGGGUGAGUAAGGCCUGACCAUGAGUUCUCAUUCAUCCAUUCUACAGAGAUUUAUUCAGUACCUUCUGGGUGCCAGGAAUCCACACGAGUGAGCCAAAUCAGGCCCAGCCUCCCUAGUCACCUAGUGCCAUGGCUGCUCUGCCAUCACCUAGUCGUUUCAAUCCAUGCUGGCUGCCCCUGCUGAACCUGUCUCCCCAACCCUGGAGCCCUGGCUUGGUGACAAGGAAAAGGAAAGAACGCAGGCUGCCCCAUCCGACAGACUCCCAUCCCACCACAGGUCACUGCUCACUCCGAAUGUCACUCUGCUCUGCUGUGUCACAGAAUGACCAAAGACUAGAAGUUCUUCGGUUUUGGAACUCGGACUGGCUCUCCUUGCUCCUCAGCCAGCAGAAGGCCUAUUGUGGGACCUUGUGAUCGUGUGAGUUAAUACUUACUAAACUCUCCUUUAUAUAUAUAUUAGUUCUUUCCCUCUAGAGAACCCUGACUAAUACAAACCUGGGUCCCAGUCCUGUCUCUUCAGCCUUCUAAGUGAGAGCUUCCACCUUCUCGAGUUGAAGUGAUGGAAGUCCUUCCUGUGGACAGCCCUGGGAAAGCAGGUAAGCGCUUCUGUGACCAAGAAAGUUGUAACGACAGUGGAGUCCAGCAUGUGUGUGGGUGUGUCUGUCCUCUUUAAAUUGCUACCGCUGAGAGUCCCAGGCCCCAGCCACGUCAGCCUGAGAUGGGGUUCUCCACUGGGGAUCCCACCCACUCAAGCUCUGCUGGCCCCUUCUCCAGCAAACUCUAGAGGAGAACUCACUCCCUUUGGGGGAGACAGGCUGAAGCAUAAGCUGACCCAGGUCAGAGAGCAGAUCUCCAAACCACAGCCGCUCCCAUGCUCUGGGGAAGCUGGGAGUUGACUGCAGAAGACUCCAGGUCUGGGACUCUGAUCUUCCUGGGGGCAGUAGCCCAAGCUGCUGGGCUGGCUUAGGGUCCAUCUCUGCCAACCUUCCUCCCCCUGGAGCACCAGGACCCACCUGCAGGCAGGCCUAUCCCAUCUGCACUCAGCAGGGGAAGCUGUCCUCUGCCCUUCCAACAGCAGAACCUGGCACUCAGGCCAAACCCUGCUCACAGUGCAGGUGUGGGGCAAAAUGAGGUCUCUUAAGUGCUGAUGGGCAAAUGGCCUGGGUCCCAUCCUGAAGUGGAAUCCCCAACGGAAUACAAUGGAUGGAGCUUCCCAUGCCUGGUGGUGACUCACUGUCUCCACAUUACACAUACCUAUUUAUACACAAACACACCACAAGUGUGCCCAUGUGACAUUGCCCACCCCACACACACCCAAACACAGACACAGCCUAUACAUCACACCUCCUGAGUUACAAAAGGCACAACCCUCCUCAAACACACAUCCAUCCUCCGGCACACACCCAGUCCAUGCCUCGCCCCCACACACACCUGACACCCCAGUGCAACACCACACCCACCCUCCCCUCCCUGCAAACUCCCACCUCCGCCCACCUGCUUAAUACACAUUCUCACCCCCCACACACUCCUUAAUACAUACUCUCACACCCACAAGCCUGCCUUCUUGGAGAAGUGAGCCGAGCCGUGCAGCGCCGCGAAGGGCAUCCCCGAAGACCGGGAGGAACGCCGCGGGGACCUGUGGCUUAGCGCGCUCCGCCCGGGCUUGUCUGCCCGCGGGGGCGCAGCGGCUGAGGCGGCUCCGGGCCGGAGUUCCAAUCAAGCGCCACCCAACUCCCAGUCGGGGGCCGAGGCCAGCGCCGGGAUGCCAGCUUCCCCCAAAAAGAUCCUGCCUCAGGGAAAUGCAUGGAGCCGGCGGAAAAGCCCGCGGCGCCCCCGGCGGAUCGCAGACCCUAAGGGGGCGGGAGGUGGCGCCCCAGUCCCAACCUCUUGAGCCAACCCAGUGGGUGGGAAGUGCCCUUACCCUAGGCCUUCCGCAAAGUGUUCUCUCCUUGUAUUAUUCUAAUUACGGUAUUUUUAAUUUCCUUAAAAAAAUAAGAAACAGAAAAGCACAGAACGCACUUGUUUGGUUUCAUUUUGCCUUCACAGCUUUAAUGACUCUAUUUGUGGAAGCUGUUUAGGAAACUGGUGAGGAGGAGAAGGAGGAGGACGCCAAGAGAAGCGCCAGCUCUGGCCUGAGCGCCGGCUUUCUCCUCCCUACCCUCUGGGGGCCAUCUGCCCAGGCAGCAGUUUCCCUGGGCCCAGGCUCCCACCCCCAAGUCCCAGCCUAUGACCCAGCCCCCUCUGCCCUUUCCUGAAGGCGGCAGUGGCCUCCAAACUGUCUCCUUUCCACCCAACCCCAACUCUGAGGGUCAAAAGACGGGCUGCCUGCAGGCCCUGGGGGAGGGAGGUACCAGCACUGUCUAUUCAGAAUCACUAACCUGGUCCGAGAGCACUUGGAAUGGAAAUGAUCCAUCUCCCCCCAGCCCAUCCCCAAAGUCUUAGGCAGCCCACAAACCUCCUUAGAAAACCUCUGUGGCUCAGGGAAUGGGGCGUAGGAGGCAGACCUCGUCUUAAGCCUGACACCCAGGAAAAGGGUCACUAGACCUGCGGUCCAGGAGAAACUCAACAACAAAGAGUCUCAAGCCCACACCCAUGAUGGUGGGUCUCCAGCCCAGAUGGAAUGAAGGAGCUAGAAGCACUAGAUUGAGGUUGUGAGGCCUCAGUUCAAGUCCUGGCGCUACCGGUGAGUCCCAGUGUGACCUUGGGCAAGUUGGCCUGUCCCAAAGUGUCAACAGUUAAAUAAAUGGAUUGGAAAAGAGGGGAACUGUUUUAUCCUACAGAAUUCCCUGUUUGUGGGGGAGGGGAGAGAGGUGGAGGAGAGAGAUUACAGGAGAAAUUCCUCCCCUGCAGUGGUACUUUCACUUUAAUGAGAAAACCCAUUAAGACACUUGAUUUUCCAUUUGUUUAAGUGAGAUGGGUGUUUGCUACAGUGAGUGCAGAGGGAGACAAGGACAGGCUAUCAUUGUGUGUGCACAGGCGCAUGCACGCGAGCACACACACACACACACACACACACACACACACACACCAAGCAGAGACACUACAAAAACUCUGAUUUUAAUUGCACCUUAAAAAGAAGUAUUAUCUUGACACCUCGACUCCUUCUCAACCAUCCCAGCCAGAGGCCAUGGAAAGGCUCAUUAAAAGCUCCAGGAAGGGCUGAAAGGUGGGGUGGGAGGAGAUUUCCAGGGCCAACCAGAGCUUUUGAAGUGGCCUUUUCUGGCUAGUCACUUGCUGACAUUACCUUCUAAGGGUCUGGGGUUUUAUGGUUCCAGUUUUGAUUUCUCCAGCAUCAGACUUUACAGCUUAAAAAUAUUCUCAGUGCUGUAAAGGGAGCUCAUUCCCAUAUUCACCAGGGAUGGGGUGGGGUGGGGAAAAGGAGAGAGAGGUGCCUGCCACUUGAGGGGAGCUUGGACACCCCCAGUAAAGAUCCCUCUUUGCAGAGAGAGCCUCGCCUGCCUCAGUCUGUUAUGAGUCUCAUGGCAGAGGGGUGGGUGGAUAAGAAUAGGAGGGAGGGUCUGCUGGGCUUGAAUCAGUCUGGCUAUUGGACAGGAGCCCUUCACAUGUCUUCAAUCUGUGGCCAAGUGAAGGCAAGAUUUGGAGAAAGCCAACACUCUGGCCUUGAUUUUCCCCAUCAGUGAAAUGGAGCUUGUGAAGGAUCCAAUGGAAAAACCCAAAGAACAUUCUGAAAGAAUGAUGCUCUGUGCCUGUGGCAUUAGAGAAAAACAAGAUUGUGUGGGAGGAAGGGACAUGUUCUCCCUCCUGAAGGCAGGUUUCUAAGGGCCACACAUUCUGGGCAAUGAGAAGGCUGCAGGCCGACCCCACCAGUUGGCCCCUCUCCAGGCUGGUGGGCAGGCAGCUACUGCCGCACUAAGUAAUGAGCACAAUUCCAACACCGCUUCUGCUCGCUGGUGAGAAAUCAAAGCCGGGUAUUAGAGGCCAUUUCUGACUGGGCACCAUUCGUGCCCAAAUCCAUCAAAGCCCUGGGCCUGGGGUUUCUUCUGGGGAAGGUGGGGGCUGGAUGCUUUGUUAAGCAGGAAAUGCAGGCCACCCCCAGCCUUCUUGGCCAAGCCCACCCACCCAGAGAACUAUAGGCCAACCAGUCUUGUCUUUCUCCUACAGCAGCCCCUCAUUCCUGGUAACCUAAGUAUUUAUUCCUGAUCCCACUGUCCUGCUGGUACAAAAGCAGCUUCCCAAGACACAACCCUGCCCAUGUGCCAUUUACAGAGACUUCACCCUACCCUUCAAUCAUCUCCUCAAACCCCCUCCAACCAGAAACCAGCACCCCAACCAAGCACCUCCCACGUCUAACUGCACCCUUUAAAACAAGGUUGGACAUUCAGCAGCCUGCCUUCCCCAUCCCCAUCAUUACCUUCCAACUUCAAAACACUGCUUUAAAUACCAGAGUCUGCCCAAAUCAUAAUUAACUUGGAUCAAAUGGUUGAGUGUUGUAACUCUACUGCACAGGACUUGCACCAGAAAAAAAAAAAAAAGUGGGGAAUGUGCUAAAGCCAAGCCCUCACUCCUGGCCGUGGGAAUCACUAAUUCCAGAAUGAGGAAUCUUUGGCUAUGGAGGGGGGAAGGGCGGAUGUCAACUUCGCAGCAGGAGGUAGGAGGUGGGGAGGGCUGCGUCAUCUCGUCCACUUUCUGCUCCAGUUUUCCUGCUCCAUUCUCAGCCUCAACUCAGAGAGGACUCCGUGCAGGAGGCCCCGUCCCCACCUGGCUCCGGAGCCGAGCCGCCCGGCAGCCGUGGCCAGCCCACUUGCUUGGGUUCGGGUACCAGAGAGAGGCUGGCUCCAUUCAGUCCACAGCCUCCCCGAGAAGACGCAGCCCAGCCAGCGACGCCGGGUCCAGCUACAGGACGAGCGAGAAACGUAUUCAUCCACGGCGAGAGAGGAGGGUUAGGGACUUUAUUUCGGAGCCCACCAGUUCGCUGAAGUCAUC
RNAcentral lists this long non-coding RNA (5394 nucleotides) under Homo sapiens (human). RNAcentral's name for it is "HSALNT0164108". The record is from RNAcentral. Lineage: Eukaryota; Metazoa; Chordata; Mammalia; Primates; Hominidae.